CCUACACUCCCAGUCCUUUUUAUUUUUUGAGACAAGGCCUUGCCAAAUUCUUGAGGCUGGCCUCAAAUCCCUAGUCGCUGGGAAACCCGAGGGCCACCAUGCCUGCCUGGGGCUUUUCUUUUAAAGGAAACUUUAUGAAGGGUAGACGUGGUAAGGUUAUGUGGGACCCUUGUCAGCCUGGUGAACAGAGUUCUUUGAUCAUAAAUCACAAGCUGUUUAUGGUUAUCUGGUCUGUAUCCAGGAUUUUCAGCUUGGCAUUAUCUCUUCUAUCUAAUCAAUCUUUGGAAUGUGUCUAAAUUAUGUACACUAACAGUGCACAUAUUUAAUCAAAUGAGGCAAUUUUCAUAGAUGGGUGAAUUUAUAGUAACUCUUUUUAAAAAGAUUUUGUAGAUUUCUUAGAAAUCUGGGAAUGACAGGCCUGGGAGUGAUAUCUGGAGAGAAGGUCCAAGCUUGGGGCUUUUAGAGUUACAGCUAUAGGCUUUUUUCCGGCUUUUUUCCUUCCUUUUUGUCUCCUUUUUACCUAUCUUUAUUCCUUCUAUCCUACUUCAAGGGGAACCUCGUGAUCUUGGGGAAGUGGACAGAAGAUAUAAAAUCCAGAGGAAACCAUUGAUUUUAAGCAGUAGGUGAAGGGAAAACCAUACCAUUUGAUUAAACUAUUUUAAAACAAUUGCAAAUUAAAAUGCAAUUGUAAGAAGAAAUACAGGGAGAUCCUGUGUACUUUCCCCUAAUGAUAACAUCUUGCAGUAUUGCAGAUUACAUAUUACAAUUACAUAUUACAACCAGUAUAUUAACAAUUGCUACAGUCAAGAUACAGAAUGUUUCUGUCCCUGCUAGGAUUCCUCAUUUGUCCUUUAAUAGUCACACCACUUUUCCCCCUUAACCCACCUUCUCCUCAAUCCCUGGAAACCACUAAUCUAUUCUGUAUUUCUAUAAAUUUUGUCCUCACAAGAAUGUUAUGUAUUUAUAUGUGGAAUCAUAUAGUGUAUAACCAUUUAGGAUUUACUUUUUUCAUUGUGCACAAUCCUCUGGGGGAACAAAGUGUUUAAAAGUAUGCAGAUCACUGUAAAUUGUUGAGAGCCACAGCUGAAGGCGCCCCAGCAAACUUCCAACUGAUUGGCUCACCAUGGCCCCAGCAAACUUCCAGCUGCCAGCUGAUUGGCUCCUCUGCAGUGAUGCUCAUUGGGCUGUUUCCCCGCCCUUUCAGACCACAGAGCUGCUCAUUGGGGGACUCUUUUGGCUCUGCCCACGCAACCCAGCCAAUCCCCCUCAAGAGCAGGAGGAGUGGGGGGUUGAGAGGCUCCUGUGAAGCUGGUGGUGGCAGUUGGGCUCUGAGGGAAUUCCUGAAGAGCUUGUGUUUUGUGGAGUUUGUGUUCUAAAAAUAAAGUUCGUUUCUGCUUGAUAAGUGGCUCAUGAAUUGUGCCCAGCCAGACUGCGGCAUUUGGUGGCCCCUACGGGAACGACUGAGGGUAAGUGAU
This 1475-nucleotide long non-coding RNA is filed under the name Marmota monax (woodchuck). The record is from RNAcentral. Lineage: Eukaryota; Metazoa; Chordata; Mammalia; Rodentia; Sciuridae.